This 504-nucleotide ribosomal RNA is filed under the name uncultured Streptomyces sp. RNAcentral describes it as "bacterial SSU rRNA". It matches the Rfam family "Bacterial small subunit ribosomal RNA", at positions 8 to 525 of the family's 1533-position model. The record is from RNAcentral. Lineage: Bacteria; Bacillati; Actinomycetota; Actinomycetes; Kitasatosporales; Streptomycetaceae.
GGAGAGUUUGAUCCUGGCUCAGGACGAACGCUGGCGGCGUGCUUAACACAUGCAAGUCGAACGAUGAACCUCCUUCGGGAGGGGAUUAGUGGCGAACGGGUGAGUAACACGUGGGCAAUCUGCCCUGCACUCUGGGACAAGCCCUGGAAACGGGGUCUAAUACCGGAUACGAGUUUCACCGGCAUCGGUGAUUCUGGAAAGCUCCGGCGGUGCAGGAUGAGCCCGCGGCCUAUCAGCUUGUUGGUGAGGUAACGGCUCGCCAAGGCGACGACGGGUAGCCGGCCUGAGAGGGCGACCGGCCACACUGGGACUGAGACACGGCCCAGACUCCUACGGGAGGCAGCAGUGGGGAAUAUUGCACAAUGGGCGCAAGCCUGAUGCAGCGACGCCGCGUGAGGGAUGACGGCCUUCGGGUUGUAAACCUCUUUCAGCAAGGAAGAAGCGAAAGUGACGGUACCUGCAAAAGACGCGCCGGCUAACUACGUGCCAGCAGCCGCGGUAAUA